UCUCCCACCCUACAGGAGGUAGAUUGGGAAGUGGAGCUGGCCGUGGUCAUUGGAAAGAAAGGCAAGCACAUCAAGGCCACAGAUGCCAUGGCCCACGUGGCCGGCUUCACUGUGGCUCAUGACGUGAGUGCUCGUGACUGGCUAACAAGAUGCAAUGGGAAACAGUGGCUGCUGGGAAAAACCUUCGACACCUUCUGCCCUCUGGGCCCUGCCUUGGUGACCAAGGACAGUGUAGCAGGUAGGUUCCUGAUCCCUGCCCCCUUGUACCUACCAUUGCACAGAUGAACAGCCCUCCAGGGAGGAGCACGGGUUCAGGUACAUGUGGCACCUGCCCUCCCUGGCUGCCCUUUCACUGCUGACUCCAUACAGGGAAAGUCUUUUAUCCUCAGCCACGAGUUCUCCCAUGGGCUUCCUUCCCAAG
This 421-nucleotide long non-coding RNA is filed under the name Homo sapiens (human). RNAcentral's name for it is "non-protein coding lnc-CIAO1-4:10". The record is from RNAcentral. Lineage: Eukaryota; Metazoa; Chordata; Mammalia; Primates; Hominidae.